UGUUCUGUGGUGGAGUUGGGUAACGCGCCCUGUCUAGCGAACUUGGGGAGACAUGGGUUCAAACCCCACCAGAACUA
Aedes albopictus (Asian tiger mosquito) is the source of this 77-nucleotide non-coding RNA. NCBI's taxonomy places the organism in Eukaryota, Metazoa, Arthropoda, Insecta, Diptera, Culicidae. The record is from Rfam.